AGGAGGUGAGAUGAUUCUUAUCCACCUAAAUCUGUAUGUUUCAGUGAUGUUUCAGAACAUGCACUACCAUCUGAUCUCUG
This 80-nucleotide small nucleolar RNA is filed under the name Ipomoea nil (Japanese morning glory). The record is from RNAcentral. Lineage: Eukaryota; Viridiplantae; Streptophyta; Magnoliopsida; Solanales; Convolvulaceae.